Molecule: long non-coding RNA, 1200 nt
Organism: Helianthus annuus (common sunflower)
Lineage: Eukaryota; Viridiplantae; Streptophyta; Magnoliopsida; Asterales; Asteraceae
Exons: 3
Source: RefSeq, a predicted model, not a curated record
AACACACAUUACUCUCACCCUCUUAAUCUAUACAUAAACAGACACACAGACAACACCCUAGCCGACACCCCCUUUCUCUUCUCUUGCUCAAUCGCCGGCGACCAGGAGCCGGUCACCGGUGCCGGCCGUCGCACACCCCCCCCCGAUUGACAACGCGGAGCACCACCACCACUAUCCGGUGGUGGUGCGGUGACGAAAACAAGCAGACAGACACAGAGAGAUGGAAACGAGAGAUAGAGAGGGAGAUCAGAGAAGAUCGGAGGACGAGAAGAGGGGCCGGCGGAGCCGGUGUCGAGCUCCGGCGGCGGCAGCAGCGGUCACGAGACAGAAACUCCGGUGAGCGAUGUCCAGUUAUUCAUUUUUUUCCCCUCUUCUUUCUCUCUUUAUCUGGUCCGACCCAUUGUUUCAACAGGUUUCGGUUGUGCUUUUCGGUGAAUAAUGAUGAGGUACAUGUUCGGGUGAUGGUUUUACUCCCGGGUCAGAUUUGGGCUGCGGGUCAGUCAUGGUUCGGGUCACGGUUCGGGAUUUUGUUCAAUUUUGGUUCGGCUUUGUAGUAAAUCGGGUCAGAUUUGAGGUUCACAGACUUGAUUCAAGUCUCGGGUCAACCACGGGUCAACCAGGGGUCACGCAGUUCAGAUUUCGGGCUCGGGUUUUGGCUCGGGCGUGGUGCAACUCGGGUCGGUUCGUGUCAAGAAGUCAGCAGCAGUUCGGUUCGUGACUCGGGUUUUGGGACAAAUUUGCACCUCGGUCAGUCGGUUCAACUCAGAUCUGGGGUUCGAGUAGUCACAUCAGCAGGAUCGGGUCACGGUUCACGUCAGUUAUGUUUCGGGUUCACAUCGGGUCCGAUUCGGUUUGAGUUUCGGUUCAACAGUCAAACGGGUUUUGGUUCGAGAUCGAUCAAGCUCAGAUCGGGUUCAACACGUUCAGCAACUCAGUCAACACCCGAGUCAACUCGGUCAACAGCGAGUCAACCCAGUCAAAAUGGUCAAACUUGGUCAACGGUAGUCAGUCAAGACCCGGAAUGUCGUAAUUGCACGCUAGCGAGUUCAUGUUCUUGGAACGACAUCACGCAAUCAUACUAAGCUAGCUUUGCACAGGAAUGUCAAGGAAUGUCGUAAUUGCACGCUAGCGAGUUCAUGUUCUUGGAACGACAUCACGCAAUCAUACUAAGCUAGCUUUGCACAGGAAUGUCAAGGUGAG